AACGCAUGGUGUGGACACCUCCUCGUUAGUUCCUUGUAUCUCUCCCAAGCCUCAUAUAGAGAUUUGGACUCUUCCUAUAGAAACAAUGUGAUAUCAUUUCUUAUCUU
Pistacia vera is the source of this 107-nucleotide small nucleolar RNA. NCBI's taxonomy places the organism in Eukaryota, Viridiplantae, Streptophyta, Magnoliopsida, Sapindales, Anacardiaceae. The record is from RefSeq and is a predicted model, not a curated record.